UACAGAGGUGGCAAGCGUUGUUCGGAAUUACUGGGCGUAAAGGGUGCGUAGGCGGCGCGGUAAGUCGGAUGUGAAAUCUCGGAGCUUAACUCCGAAACUGCAUUCGAUACUGCCGUGCUUGAGGACUGGAGAGGAGACUGGAAUUUACGGUGUAGCGGUGAAAUGCGUAGAUAUCGUAAGGAAGACCAGUGGCGAAGGCGGGUCUCUGGACAGUUCCUGACACUGAGGCACGAAGGCCAGGGGAGCAAACGGG
Molecule: ribosomal RNA, 253 nt
Filed under: uncultured bacterium
Lineage: Bacteria
Description: partial 16S ribosomal RNA
Rfam family: Bacterial small subunit ribosomal RNA
Source: RNAcentral